This 301-nucleotide ribosomal RNA is filed under the name uncultured bacterium. RNAcentral's name for it is "partial 16S ribosomal RNA". It matches the Rfam family "Bacterial small subunit ribosomal RNA", at positions 509 to 807 of the family's 1533-position model. The record is from RNAcentral.
CAGUAGCCGCGGGAAUACGUAGGUGGCAAGCGUUGUCCGGAAUUAUUGGGCGUAAGGGGCUCGCAGGCGGUUUCUUAAGUCUGAUGUGAAAGCCCCCGGCCCAACCGGGGAGGGUCAUUGGAAACUGGGAAACUUGAGUGCAGAAGAGGAGAGUGGAAUUCCACGUGUAGCGGUGAAAUGCGUAGAGAUGUGGAGAAACACCAGUGGCGAAGGCGACUCUCUGGUCUGUAACUGACGCUGAGGAGCGAAAGCGUGGGGAGCGAACAGGAUUAGAUACCCCUGUAGUCCCUGUCUCUUAUAC